UACGGAGGGGGCUAGCGUUGUUCGGAACUACUGGGCGUAAAGCGCACGUAGGCGGCUUUGUAAGUUAGAGGUGAAAGCCCGGGGCUCAACUCCGGAAUUGCCUUUAAGACUGCAUCGCUAGAAUUGUGGAGAGGUAAGUGGAAUUCCGAGUGUAGAGGUGAAAUUCGUAGAUAUUCGCAAGAACACCAGUGGCGAAGGCGGCUCACUGGCCCGAUACUGACGCUGAGGCACGAAAGCGUGGGGAGCAAACAGG
Molecule: ribosomal RNA, 253 nt
Filed under: uncultured bacterium
Lineage: Bacteria
Description: partial 16S ribosomal RNA
Rfam family: Bacterial small subunit ribosomal RNA
Source: RNAcentral